CGACAGGCUUAACACAUGCAAGUCGAGGGGCAGCGGGGGUAGCGAUACCCGCCGGCGACCGGCGCACGGGUGAGUAACGCGUAUGCAACUUGCCUAUCAGAGGGGGAUAACCCGGCGAAAGUCGGACUAAUACCGCAUGAAGCAGGGGCCCCGCAUGGGGAUAUUUGCUAAAGAUUCAUCGCUGAUAGAUAGGCAUGCGUUCCAUUAGGCAGUUGGCGGGGUAACGGCCCACCAAACCGACGAUGGAUAGGGGUUCUGAGAGGAAGGUCCCCCACAUUGGUACUGAGACACGGACCAAACUCCUACGGGAGGCAGCAGUGAGGAAUAUUGGUCAAUGGCCGAGAGGCUGAACCAGCCAAGUCGCGUGAGGGAUGAAGGUUCUAUGGAUCGUAAACCUCUUUUAUAAGGGAAUAAAGUGCGGGACGUGUCCCGUUUUGUAUGUACCUUAUGAAUAAGGAUCGGCUAACUCCGUGCCAGCAGCCGCGGUAAUACGGAGGAUCCGAGCGUUAUCCGGAUUUAUUGGGUUUAAAGGGUGCGUAGGCGGCCUUUUAAGUCAGCGGUGAAAGUCUGUGGCUCAACCAUAGAAUUGCCGUUGAAACUGGGGGGCUUGAGUAUGUUUGAGGCAGGCGGAAUGCGUGGUGUAGCGGUGAAAUGCAUAGAUAUCACGCAGAACCCCGAUUGCGAAGGCAGCCUGCCAAGCCAUUACUGUCGCUGAUGCACGAAAGCGUGGGGAUCAAACAGGAUUAGAUACCCUGGUAGUCCACGCAGUAAACGAUGAUCACUAGCUGUUUGCGAUACACUGUAAGCGGCACAGCGAAAGCGUUAAGUGAUCCACCUGGGGAGUACGCCGGCAACGGUGAAACUCAAAGGAAUUGACGGGGGCCCGCACAAGCGGAGGAACAUGUGGUUUAAUUCGAUGAUACGCGAGGAACCUUACCCGGGUUUGAACGCAUUCGGACCGAGGUGGAAACACCUUUUCUAGCAAUAGCCGUUUGCGAGGUGCUGCAUGGUUGUCGUCAGCUCGUGCCGUGAGGUGUCGGCUUAAGUGCCAUAACGAGCGCAACCCUUGCCACUAGUUACUAACAGGUAAAGCUGAGGACUCUGGUGGGACUGCCAGCGUAAGCUGCGAGGAAGGCGGGGAUGACGUCAAAUCAGCACGGCCCUUACAUCCGGGGCGACACACGUGUUACAAUGGCGUGGGCAAAGGGAGGCCACCUGGCGACAGGGAGCGAAUCCCCAAACCACGUCUCAGUUCGGAUCGGAGUCUGCAACCCGACUCCGUGAAGCUGGAUUCGCUAGUAAUCGCGCAUCAGCCAUGGCGCGGUGAAUACGUUCCCGGGCCUUGUACACACCGCCCGUCAAGCCAUGGGAGCCGGGGGUACCUGAAGUCCGUAACCGAAAGGAUCGGCCUAGGGUAAAACUGGUGACUGGGGC
This 1434-nucleotide ribosomal RNA is filed under the name uncultured organism. RNAcentral describes it as "16S ribosomal RNA". It matches the Rfam family "Bacterial small subunit ribosomal RNA". The record is from RNAcentral.